This 373-nucleotide ribosomal RNA is filed under the name uncultured organism. RNAcentral's name for it is "bacterial SSU rRNA". It matches the Rfam family "Bacterial small subunit ribosomal RNA", at positions 526 to 896 of the family's 1533-position model. The record is from RNAcentral.
CAGAGGUCCCGAGCGUUGUUCGGAUUCACUGGGCGUAAAGGGUGCGUAGGUGGUGAGGGUAAGUCGGAUGUGAAAUCUCCGGGCUCAACCCGGAAAUGGCAUUGGAAACUACCUUGCUGGAGGAUUUGAGGGGGGAUUGGAAUACUUGGUGUAGCAGUGAAAUGCGUAGAUAUCAAGUGGAACACCAGUGGCGAAGGCGAAUCCCUGGAAAAUACCUGACACUGAGGCACGAAAGCUAGGGGAGCAAACAGGAUUAGAUACCCUGGUAGUCCUAGCCCUAAACGGUGCUUGCUUGCUGUAAGAGGAAUCGACCCCUCUUGUGGCGGAGCUAACGCGUUAAGCAAGCCGCCUGGGAAGUACGGUCGCAAGAUUA